This 468-nucleotide ribosomal RNA is filed under the name uncultured bacterium. RNAcentral's name for it is "partial 16S ribosomal RNA". It matches the Rfam family "Bacterial small subunit ribosomal RNA", at positions 28 to 507 of the family's 1533-position model. The record is from RNAcentral.
GACGAACGCUGGCGGCGUGCUUAACACAUGCAAGUCGAACGGAAAGGCCCUGCUUUUGUGGGGUGCUCGAGUGGCGAACGGGUGAGUAACACGUGAGUAACCUGCCCUUGACUUUGGGGUAACUUCAGGAAACUGGGGCUAAUACCGGAUAGGAGCUCCUGCUGCAUGGUGGGGGUUGGAAAGUUUCGGCGGUUGGGGAUGGACUCGCGGCUUAUGAGCUUGUUGGUGGGGUAGUGGAUGACCCAGGCUUUGACGGGUAGGCGGCCUGAGAGGGUGAACGGCCACAGUGGGACUGAGAUACGGCCCAGACUCCUACGGGAGGCAGCAGGGGGGAAUAUUGCACAAUGGGCGGAAGCCGGAUGCAGCAACGCCGCGUGCGGGAUGACGGCCUUCGGGUUGUAAACCGCUUUCGCCUGUGACGAAGCGUGAGUGACGGUAAUGGGUAAAGAAGCACCGGCUAACUACGUG